This 298-nucleotide long non-coding RNA is filed under the name Mytilus galloprovincialis (Mediterranean mussel). Lineage: Eukaryota; Metazoa; Mollusca; Bivalvia; Mytilida; Mytilidae. The record is from RNAcentral.
UGCUUUUGGCACAAAGACGUCAUGGCUAAACGUGACGUCAUACAAAUGAAAACUUACAAACUGGAGGUAAUUACGUUACUUGUACGCUUCAAAUUCGAAUAAAAUUACAUUAAAACGGCGAAUUCGAGGUAGGUGUUGUUUUAUUUUCGAUUAUAUAGUAGUAAUCGAACAUUUGUUGAUUCAACAAUUCAAAAUGGCGGGUCCCUCCUUAGUUACGCCUGGUCAACUGUGGAUUUGACGGCAACUUUUAGCCAAUGAAAAAAAUUGUAACAUCCAAAUUGCAUUAGAAUAAACACUU